UCUCAGAUAGUAUAGUGGUUAGUAUUCCAGCUUGUCAUUUCGACAAUUCAACCCGCUGGAGACGGAGGUUCGACUCCUUCUCUGAGAG
Non-coding RNA from Paraphoma chrysanthemicola, 88 nucleotides. The record is from the annotation of a GenBank genome assembly. Lineage: Eukaryota; Fungi; Ascomycota; Dothideomycetes; Pleosporales; Phaeosphaeriaceae.